UUGAAAGGUGUUGACUUUUGGAAUGCCAGACUUGCUAGCUGGAUUUGGAGGAAGAUUUUGAAGCUUCUUUUUUGAGCUGUUUUUCUCUUGGGUGGAGUAGAGAUAGAGAUAGUUGGCAUAGAUUUGCACAUUCUUAGGCAUUCCUUGAUUGCAUGGAUAGACUCCCAACUAAAGAUAGUCUUAUUAAAAGAGGGAUGGGGACU
Molecule: long non-coding RNA, 203 nt
Filed under: Gossypium raimondii (Peruvian cotton)
Lineage: Eukaryota; Viridiplantae; Streptophyta; Magnoliopsida; Malvales; Malvaceae
Description: long non-coding RNA (GRAI_LNC002596)
Source: RNAcentral